CUUCAACGAGCCCAGCCACAACGGGCGAUCCCGGUCUUGUCCGAAUGUUGACAUCAGCGCCUGGGCCUC
RNAcentral lists this antisense RNA (69 nucleotides) under Actinocrispum wychmicini. RNAcentral's name for it is "ASpks TB sRNA". It matches the Rfam family "ASpks TB sRNA". The record is from Rfam by way of RNAcentral. Lineage: Bacteria; Bacillati; Actinomycetota; Actinomycetes; Pseudonocardiales; Pseudonocardiaceae.